Molecule: ribosomal RNA, 465 nt
Filed under: uncultured Klebsiella sp.
Lineage: Bacteria; Pseudomonadati; Pseudomonadota; Gammaproteobacteria; Enterobacterales; Enterobacteriaceae
Description: bacterial SSU rRNA
Rfam family: Bacterial small subunit ribosomal RNA
Source: RNAcentral
CCUACGGGAGGCAGCAGUGGGGAAUAUUGCACAAUGGGCGCAAGCCUGAUGCAGCCAUGCCGCGUGUGUGAAGAAGGCCUUCGGGUUGUAAAGCACUUUAAGCGGGGAGGAAGGCGGUGAGGUUAAUAACCUCAUCGAUUGACGUUACCCGCAGAAGAAGCACCGGCUAACUCCGUGCCAGCAGCCGCGGUAAUACGGAGGGUGCAAGCGUUAAUCGGAAUUACUGGGCGUAAAGCGCACGCAGGCGGUCUGUCAAGUCGGAUGUGAAAUCCCCGGGCUCAACCUGGGAACUGCAUUCGAAACUGGCAGGCUAGAGUCUUGUAGAGGGGGGUAGAAUUCCAGGUGUAGCGGUGAAAUGCGUAGAGAUCUGGAGGAAUACCGGUGGCGAAGGCGGCCCCCUGGACAAAGACUGACGCUCAGGUGCGAAAGCGUGGGGAGCAAACAGGAUUAGAUACCCGAGUAGUC